UACGUAGGAUGCAAGCGUUGUCCGGAAUUAUUGGGCGUAAAGAGUUCGUAGGUGGUUAUCUAAGUCUGGUGUUAAAGACGGGAGCUCAACUCCCGCAUGGCAUCGGAAACUGGAUGGCUAGAGUGUGGAAGAGGUAACUGGAAUUCCUGGUGUAGCGGUGAAGUGCGCAGAUAUCAGGAGGAACACCCGUGGCGAAAGCGAGUUACUGGUCCAUUACUGACACUGAGGAACGAAAGCCAGGGUAGCAAAAGGG
Molecule: ribosomal RNA, 253 nt
Filed under: uncultured bacterium
Lineage: Bacteria
Description: partial 16S ribosomal RNA
Rfam family: Bacterial small subunit ribosomal RNA
Source: RNAcentral